GGCCCGGGCGCCGGGGCCCCGGGCGCCGCGUGCUCCGACAUGCCGUCCCGCGUCGCGCCCUUAGCGGUCCGCGGGUCCCCGAGCGCGCCUCCCGGCAGCCAUGGGCCGUCCCCGCCGCCGCCGCCCGCUCACGGCCGCCCGGCCGCCGCCGCCAUCUUCCGCCUCCGCGUCCUGCUGACGCCUGCGAGUCGCCGCGCCCGGCCAGAGCGGCCCCUGCGCCCGCGGGGCACGCUGGGAUGCCGGCGGCCGACCCGCGGAGGCCCCGCCUGCUCGCUCGGCCGCGCCGCUCGGGGACGCUGCGGGGCGGGGCUGCGUCGGGACUGCUGUUUUGCAUGUUGGCCCCCAGAAUCCUCUGCGGCUGCGAGGCCGCGCGUGGGAGUCAAAAUUAGUCAAUAUGGGAGGGUUUUAAACGCGAUCGAAGACAGCUAAGGAAGUGUGACGGGAGGACAUGUUCCUUUGCAUGGUGCUCUCGAGAAAGCCAUGCCGGACAGGUUGCAUCAAAUUGGCAUAACUGUAAAGCACUUUGUUCAAUGCCCUUCAAAUAAGCCGGCGGUUGGCGUGUUUGUCCGAGAAAAGGCUCCCGCGCGUGCAGCGAGUUUUGCGUGAGGGUGGGCCCUCCUGACGUCACUAAAACUCCUGGCGUCAUAGGGUCCCGCCGGGCUCUGCGCCUGGCUGUUCACGAAGGUCGGGGACUGGACGAAGCUCCGCCCUCCUGCCCGUCGCGGUGCAUCCGGGGAUUUCGCACGGGGGCUGUGGGUCCCGAGCCGGGUUUUGCCCAUCUGGUGUCACCACGGCAGUUUCUUUUCUCCUCCAGACCCUCGUCCCUGCUGCGCGCCCCCUGCGUGACCUUGGCCCGAUGGUGACCUGGAGGACCGCACGGGACUCAGAGCCCGUGCCGGCCACUAAGGCUUGGGGACCACCCCCCAAAAAAACCGCAAAAGAGUGUCCGGGUUGGGCCCGCGGUCCAGAACACACCGGCCAGUAGGAACGUAGCACAAACCACACCCGCAGUUCUCAGUUUUAAGCCACAUUAAAGGACCGAAACGAGGACAGUCUCGGAAACGGUUCCCAUAACUCGGUGUCUCGGAAACGGGAUCAUUUCAACGUGUGAUCGAUGUGAAAGACGAUUAACGGGGCCUUUCACCCGCUGCUGCGCCAGGUCCGAGAAGUCCGGCCCGACCCGGACGUGGAUGCGCCCUCGGAAAACCCGCGGCCAAAACGGACCCGCCAGGACGAUUCCCGAAACCUGGAUCCAGCGUCGGUUUUUAAGUUUGCGUCAGAAUUAACUCAAGUCAAAUAAAAUGAAGCCUUCGCUUCCA
This is a non-coding RNA of Equus caballus (horse), 1319 nucleotides long. NCBI's taxonomy places the organism in Eukaryota, Metazoa, Chordata, Mammalia, Perissodactyla, Equidae. The record is from RefSeq and is a predicted model, not a curated record.